This 82-nucleotide non-coding RNA is filed under the name unclassified sequences. RNAcentral's name for it is "skipping-rope RNA". It matches the Rfam family "skipping-rope RNA". Rfam says of the family: Firmicutes, Fusobacteria, AlphaProteobacteria, Spirochaetes. The record is from Rfam by way of RNAcentral.
GUUAUUUGAGGUGGUAAAAUGUUGCAACCACACACCCUAGAGGUCAAAAGAGAUGUAGGAACGGCGACUCCUACCAAAUAAC